UGCGUAGGCCGUUCGAAAAGUUGGGUGUGAAAUACCUCGGCUCAACCGAGGAACUGCGCCCAAAACUGUCGGACUCGAGGGAGACAUAGGUGUGCGGAACUUAGGGUGGAGCGGUGAAAUGCGUUGAGAUCCUAGGGAACACCAGUAGCGAAAGCGGCACACUGGGUCUCUUCUGACGCUGAUGCACGAAAGCUAGGGGAGCGAAGAGGAUUAGAUACCCUCGUAGUCCUAGCCGUAAACGAUGAGCACUGGUUUGGAGGCUCCUCCAUAGGCUUCCAGACGUAGCGAAAGUGUUAAGUGCUCCGCCUGGGGAGUAUGGUCGCAAGGCUGAA
This 332-nucleotide ribosomal RNA is filed under the name uncultured bacterium. RNAcentral describes it as "bacterial SSU rRNA". It matches the Rfam family "Bacterial small subunit ribosomal RNA", at positions 568 to 898 of the family's 1533-position model. The record is from RNAcentral.